This 451-nucleotide ribosomal RNA is filed under the name uncultured Bacillota bacterium. Its description in RNAcentral is "bacterial SSU rRNA". The record is from RNAcentral. Lineage: Bacteria; Bacillati; Bacillota.
GAGUUUGAUCAUGGCUCAGGACGAACGCUGGCGGCACGCCUAACACAUGCAAGUCGAACGGAGAUAUUUUGGUUUACUGAGAUAUCUUAGUGGCGGACGGGUGAGUAACACGUGAGCAACCUGCCUYUGAGAGAGGGAUAGCUUCUGGAAACGGAUGGUAAUACCUCAUAACAUAACGAAGCCGCAUGACUUUGUUAUCAAAGAUUUAUCACUCAGAGAUGGGCUCGCGUYUGAUUAGAUAGUUGGUGAGGUAACGGCUCACCAAGUCGACGAUCAGUAGCCGGACUGAGAGGUUGAACGGCCACAUUGGGACUGAGACACGGCCCAGACUCCUACGGGAGGCAGCAGUGGGGAAUAUUGCACAAUGGGGGAAACCCUGGUGCAGCGAUGCCGCGUGGAGGAAGAAGGUUUUCGGAUUGUAAACUCCUGUCUUAAAGGACGAUAAUGACGU